Molecule: long non-coding RNA, 1901 nt
Organism: Mustela erminea (ermine)
Lineage: Eukaryota; Metazoa; Chordata; Mammalia; Carnivora; Mustelidae
Exons: 4
Source: RefSeq, a predicted model, not a curated record
CUGUGGGCGCGGCGUGGAGUAGACCUCCUGCGUGGCUAUUCCUCUCGCCGUGCAGGGCUCCGGACCGACGCCCGCUCUUUCUGCUCACCUUUGCCCUCUAUGCUGAGCUCCUAGAGGUCCCAGCUAUGCCAUCCCGGGCUUGCUGGGAUCCGCUGUCUUCCAACUGCUCUUCAGGACCUGGCUCCUGGAGGGCGACACCACCCCCCCCCCCCCGCAACCUAGAAAUUCCACUUUGACCUGUAAUGAAUCCUCCUCCAACGUUCCCAGCGUCGUCUUGGACCCUCUUUUAUUGCAAAAACUACAAAUGAAAUUGAUUAAGAAGGUUUGGGGCAGGAUGCUGACACAAUAUGAUGUUCAUCUGAGUCCAGCUUUUGAAGAUAAAAAUCAAAACUUAGCCAUUUCUUUGAUCCUAAUGAGGACUUGACAUGGACCAAUGAAUCUGGAACCAUCUUCAGCCUGUGAUCAGUCAUAAUCCAGAAGAAGCCAAGCAGACCACCCAUCACUGUCUGGAGAGAGAGGUGCCCUCACCUACCACCUGCAUCCUUUGCUCCACUGAAGGUACUGUGGAACCCAUGAGGGGGAGCUAAAACUCAGGCUAGGUAACACCAUUUUAACAAUACCCAGAGGACAAUCAGUCCCUUACCGCUGGCUACAGUUGACCUCUGACUUUAAGCCCUAUGCUAUUACUGUGCUCCUUCCUUACCUGAGAAGUUUCUACCCUUACCAGUGUUGAUUGUAUGUCAUUCACCCAAGCCCUGGUAAUCUGCACACUUCUGUAGACAGGGUCUAUCUGGAAACAACAUGCCACAGACACACCAUAGUGAGAGACACCACACAGGUGAGACUGGGGGCAAUAGGGGCCAUGCUGUUGGCUAUUCAGGUUAGUCAAUCAUACUAUCAUGACCAAGGACAUCAACACGGAGGUUAGCAUUCUUUUUCCUAUCUCUACCUACUGUUACUAGGAAUACCCCUUCUGGCUAAGCUGGACUCUUACUGCUAAUGACUCAUAGAUGCUUUCUAAACCCUGGAGGCCUACUGUUACUUCAGAUCGGUAAGACCCACUGUUAACAAUUAGUGCCAUCAAACAAAUAGAGUAAUGGGCCACUACUUAUCAAGUCUCACUUAAGGACUGCCCAGAAAUAAUAUGCAUCCAGUAUUGCAACGAUGCUUGUUAUUGUUCGAGUUAGAUUAAAAAUACUGUCAUCCAGAGCCAAUACCAACAAACUGUAUGUUUACAAAGAUAAAAUUAUAGAUCUUAACUAACCCUUGGUAUAACGACAUAUGUAAACCCUGCCAAAAAUUUUUGCUGUCAUAAUUUUUCAUCUCUUUUCCUAUUAAUUACAAUGCCCUCUCCCUCUCUCUCUUGCUCUCUCCAGUAUAAGCCCCACUUAUUGAGGCAGAAAAAUAUUGCACUAACCAGGUGGCCAGGUUCACUUUACCAUGGAUUUCCUCUCUGGUUGCUAAUCAGUAUAGACAAAGAAGGAAAGGCAUACAACAUAAAAUUAACCAGGACAAGGCCUGCCUAAAAUGUCAGGGGCUACAACCAGCUUGGGAGUUCUUUCCUAACCUAAACUCACCAUACCAACAUCAAGAUUUGCAUUACACUCAGAGAAAGCAGGUUCUUAGAAUUAACAGGCUAACUACCUGAAGUAAACAAUCAUAGCUUUGGGUUGUUUUUUUUUUGUUUGUUUGUUUGUUUUGAAGAACAGCAAAAGCAGUUCUUCUGAAAAACAUAUUUGAUACCUUGUAGAAAUCUAAUCACUCUCUACAUGGCAAUUUCUCCAUUCAAAUUGACAGCUACCUGUUUACAACCAUUACAAAAUUUGCCAGGCCUACCAGGACCAUCAUUAGUAAGAACUUGGGGAAAUAUUUAAGGGAGACUGCCACCCAAUGUUACUCUU